UCCUCCUUACUGCCGCCCACCGAUUCCAUGGAGAAAAUAUUUGGCCAGAAUAAGAAAGAACAGCUGGAUCCAGUGCAGGCCAAAGUGACAGGCAGCAUUCCAGCAUGGCUGCAGGGGACCCUGCUCCGAAACGGGCCUGGGAUGCACACAGUGGGAGACAGCAAGUACAACCAUUGGUUUGAUGGCCUGGCCCUUCUCCACAGUUUCUCCAUUAGAGAUGGGGAGGUCUUCUACAGAAGCAAAUACCUGCAGAGCGACACCUACAACGCCAACAUCGAGGCCAACAGGAUCGUGGUGUCUGAGUUCGGAACAAUGGCCUACCCAGACCCCUGCAAAAACAUCUUUUCCAAAGCUUUCUCCUACCUGUCCCACACCAUCCCCGACUUCACAGACAACUGUCUGAUCAACAUCAUGAAAUGUGGAGAGGACUUCUAUGCGACCACAGAGACCAACUACAUCAGGAAAAUCAACCCCCAGACUCUAGAGACCUUAGAUAAGGUUGAUUACCGGAAGUAUGUGGCUGUAAACCUGGCUACCUCACAUCCUCAUUAUGACGAGGCUGGGAAUGUCCUUAACAUGGGCACGUCAAUUGUGGACAAAGGAAGGACAAAAUACGUGAUCUUUAAGAUUCCUGCCGCAGCACCAGGCAGCAAGAAGAAAGGGAAGAACCCCGUGAAGCAAGCGGAAGUUUUCUGCUCCAUCCCCUCUCGCUCGCUGCUCUCUCCCAGCUACUACCACAGCUUUGGAGUCACGGAGAACUACGUGGUGUUUCUGGAGCAGCCUUUUAAGUUGGAUAUCCUCAAGAUGGCCACCGCAUACGUGAGGGGAGUAAGCUGGGCUUCCUGUAUGUCCUUCUGCAGGGAGGACAAGACUUAUAUUCAUAUCAUCGACCAGAGGACCAGAAAGCCUGUGCCAACCAAGUUCUACACAGACCCCAUGGUGGUCUUCCAUCAUGCCAAUGCCUAUGAGGAGGACGGCUGUGUCCUGUUUGAUGUCGUUGCCUAUGAGGACAGCAGCCUCUAUCAGCUCUUCUACCUGGCCAACCUGAACAAGGACUUCGAGGAGAAGUCCAGGCUGACCUCAGUGCCUACCCUCAGGAGGUUUGCCGUGCCCCUCCAUAUCGACAAGGAUGCAGAAGUGGGCUCAAAUUUAGUCAAGGUGUCAUCUACAACAGCAACAGCCCUGAAGGAGAAAGAUGGCCAUGUCUACUGCCAGCCCGAGGUCCUCUAUGAAGGCCUAGAGCUCCCUCGGAUAAAUUAUGCUCACAACGGGAAGCCCUAUCGCUACAUCUUUGCGGCUGAAGUACAAUGGAGUCCAGUCCCAACCAAGAUACUAAAAUAUGACAUUCUCACAAAGUCUUCCUUAAAGUGGUGUGAGGAGAACUGCUGGCCGGCAGAACCUCUGUUUGUUCCCACGCCAGGUGCCAAGGAUGAAGAUGACGCCCCUUGCAGGCCAAGCAGAGACCAUGUGGUCCAGAGUCCCCUCAUAAAUCACACUGUCAGCUGAGCAUGGCAUGUGUGCCUGAGAUCUCAGCAUUUGGGAGGCAGACAGAAGACAACCAGGGGUCUAUGGUCAUUCUCAGACACACAGAGAAUUUGAACUACUAAGACCCUGUCUCCAAAAAGCAAUAGCAAUAAGAUAGAUAGGAGUCAUCUUAUCAGCCAUCGUCUCUACGGAUCCCCAAAAGCUGCCCUUUUUACUUAUUCUAGAUGCCAAAAGUUUUACAGAAUUGGCUCGCGCCUCUGUUGAUGUGGACAUGCACCUGGACCUGCAUGGCUUAUUCAUCCCAGAUGCAGACUGGGAUACAGUGAAGCAGACUCCAGCCGAAAUGCAAGAGGAUGAAAACUCAGAUCAUCCCACGGGUCUGACAGCACCAGGACUGGGCCACAAUGAAAAUGACUUCCCGGCAGGUCGGGGUGGCACAAGCCUUUAAUCCUAGCACUCAAGGCAGAGGCAAGCAGAUCUCUGAGUUCAAGGACAGCCUGG
Arvicanthis niloticus (Nile rat) is the source of this 1986-nucleotide non-coding RNA. The record is from RefSeq and is a predicted model, not a curated record. Lineage: Eukaryota; Metazoa; Chordata; Mammalia; Rodentia; Muridae.